Molecule: ribosomal RNA, 2086 nt
Filed under: gut metagenome
Description: bacterial LSU rRNA
Rfam family: Bacterial large subunit ribosomal RNA
Source: RNAcentral
AAAAGUAAGUAAGGGCACAUGGCGGAUGCCUUGGCUCUCGGAGGCGAUGAAGGACGUGAUAAGCUGCGAUAAGCUGCGGGUAGGUGCAAAUGACCUUUGAUCCGCGGAUUUCCGAAUGGGACAACCCGGUACUUUGAAGAAGUAUCAUCCUGCAUUGCAGGAGGCUAACGCAGGGAACUGAAACAUCUUAGUACCUGCAGGAAAAGAAAAUAAACAAUGAUUCCCCCAGUAGUGGCGAGCGAACGGGGAAUAGCCCAAACCACCCAUGUUACGGCAUGGGUGGGGUUGUAGGACCACGCCGUGGCAAGAAAGUUGGUGAGCAGAAUGUUCUGGAAAGUACAGCCAUAGAGCAUGAGAGCUGCGUAUGCGAAGCCAAGCGAAGCCUAGUGGUAUCCUGAGUAGCGCGGAGCACGAGGAAUUCUGCGUGAAUCUGCCGGGACCAUCCGGUAAGGCUAAAUACUCCCGAGAGACCGAUAGUGAACCAGUACUGUGAAGGAAAGGUGAAAAGCACUUCGAACAGAAGAGUGAAAUAGUUCCUGAAACCAUGUGCCUACAAGCGGUCGGAGCACCUUUUGGUGUGACGGCGUGCCUUUUGCAUAAUGAACCUACGAGUUACUUUUUCCGGCGAGGUUAAGGAUUUCAGAUCUGCAGCCGAAGCGAAAGCGAGUCUGAACAGGGCGUAUAGUCGGAAGGAGUAGACGCGAAACCAAGUGAUCUACCCUUGGGCAGGUUGAAGGAUGGGUAACACCAUCUGGAGGACCGAACCAAUAAGCGUUGAAAAGCUUCUGGAUGACCUGAGGGUGGGGGUGAAAGGCUAAUCAAACUUGGAGAUAGCUCGUACUCCCCGAAAUGCAUUUAGGUGCAGCCUUGACUUAUACUGGCAUGAGGUAGAGCGACUGAUAAGAUGCGAGGGCUUCACCGCCUAUCAAGUCUUGACAAACUCCGAAUGCGUGUCAGUUCUAUGUCAGGAGUGAGGGCAUGGGUGCUAAGGUCCAUGUCCUAAAGGAGAACAAUCCGGACCAACAGCUAAGGUCCCGAAAUGAAUACUAAGUUGAACUAACGAAGUCAGAUUGCUAAGACAGCUAGGAUGUUGGCUUGGAAGCAGCCAUUCAUUUAAAGAGUGCGUAACAGCUCACUAGUCGAGGAGUUUGGCGUGGAUAAUAAUCGGGCAUAAGUAUUCUACCGAAGCUUUGGGAUGAGAAAUCAUCGGUAGGGGAGCAUUCCACUCUGCGUCGAAGGUGAGGCGCGAGCCUUGCUGGAGCGUGUGGAAAAGCAAAUGUAGGUAUAAGUAACGAUAAAGGGGGUGGGAAACCCCCUCGCCGAAAGACUAAGGUUUCCUGAUCAACGCUAAUCGGAUCAGGGUAAGUCGGGUCCUAAGGCUCAGCCGAACGGCGAGGCCGAUGGCAGAACCGGUUAAUAUUCCGGUACUACCUGUGGGAGUGACGUGGAGACGGAGUCGUGACAGCGCCGCGGACUGACGGAAUAGUCCGUUGAAGGGUGUAGAUGCUGAUUGUUCCAGGCAAAUCCGGAGCAAGAGUCGAACCUGACAGUAUGGAGCGUUCUUAGAACAAUCCAAUAGUGCGUGUAAUCAUACUUCCAAGAAAAUCCGCUAAACUUAAUCCUGCAGGUACCCGUACCGCAAACGGACACACGUAGUCGGGUUGAAUAUACUAAGGCGCUUGAGUGAUUCACGGUUAAGGAACUAGGCAAACUGACCCUGUAACUUCGGGAUAAAGGGUCCUCGCUUUACGGCGAGGCGCAGAGAAUAGGUCCAGGCAACUGUUUAACAAAAACACAGGGCUGUGCAAAAUUGAAAGAUGAAGUAUACAGCCUGACACCUGCCCGGUGCUGGAAGGUUAAGAGGAGAUGUCAUCGCAAGAGAAGCAUUGAAUUGAAGCCCCAGUAAACGGCGGCCGUAACUAUAACGGUCCUAAGGUAGCGAAAUUCCUUGUCGGGUAAGUUCCGACCUGCACGAAUGGUGUAAUGAUCUGGACGCUGUCUCAACCGUGAGCUCAGUGAAAUUGUAGUAUCGGUGAAGAUGCCGAUUACCCGCGAUGGGACGAAAAGACCCCGUGAACCUUUACUA